UAAAACAAUGAAAGUAAAUUAAUAAAUAAAGGGCAGAGUCUACAGUUGUGUUAAAAGCAAAGGAAUAAAAAUGGGGUUUGAGGCGGUUUUUAAAGGGGAGCUAAAUCCAAGAUGUGAAAACUUUUGUUAUAUUUUAAAUGUGCUUAUCUUCUUUAUCUGAUGAUGUUUACUUUAAAUCUACGAGGUAUUUAUUCUUAAAAAUACAUUUCAAACAUUGCAUUUACCCACCUCCGGGGGCCGCCAUUCUUACGUCGUUACAUGCGCGAAGUCCCGGCCGGGAAUGUGACGUGUGAGAGUGGUAGGCUGCCGACAGCUUUUCAAAGACACUUUAAUUGGCGAAAACGAAUCUGCACACGUACUUUUGAUGCCGACAGCCUGACACAGUUGCAGUCCCUACCGAUCCAAUUUCAACAAACCAGACUCAAAUGUGUCGUAAACAAAGCAACGAGGUAACUGUACUGGCUGACUCCAAAGUAAAGAUCGUUGCAGUAAUCCAACAGAUAUGUGAAGACGACAAUGAAUUGGUCGGCGAGCUGCUGAGGGCUCCACUCCACGACCUCUGACCGGGAUGGCACUCGGCCGCCGCUCAUCCUGCGUGGUCUGCCUCGCCGCAGAAGACUUCACAGUACCUGGUUGGACUUCCUAACUGAAAAGUCAGUGAAAACUGAUCUCAAGGUUUCCCGUCGUCGCCUAGGCCGACAUGUCAAAGUGGAACCAAGAUGGCUUCCUUCGUGCUUCCUGUCGCCUUUACUUGGUGUGUUUGUCAGUCU
Phycodurus eques (leafy seadragon) is the source of this 770-nucleotide long non-coding RNA. RefSeq lists it as uncharacterized. The transcript has 3 exons. The record is from RefSeq and is a predicted model, not a curated record. Lineage: Eukaryota; Metazoa; Chordata; Actinopteri; Syngnathiformes; Syngnathidae.